Molecule: ribosomal RNA, 213 nt
Filed under: Campeiostachys nutans
Lineage: Eukaryota; Viridiplantae; Streptophyta; Magnoliopsida; Poales; Poaceae
Description: Elymus nutans partial small subunit ribosomal RNA
Rfam family: Eukaryotic small subunit ribosomal RNA (bases 38-213)
Source: RNAcentral
GGACCAUCAUGUCGGUCGUGCCUCGGUACGUACUGGCAUUAUUGGUUUCUCCCUUCUGACGAACCAUGAUGUCAUUAAUUUGGUGUCAUGGGGAAUCAGGACUGUUACUUUGAAAAAAUUAGAGUGUUUAAAGCAGGCAUUAGCUUGAAUACAUUAGCAUGGAAUAAUGAAAUAGGACGGUGGUUCUGUUUUGUUGGUUUCUAGGAUCACGUA